This is an RNA transcript of Hibiscus syriacus, 1740 nucleotides long. It is a transcript of the gene named serine/threonine-protein phosphatase PP1 isozyme 2-like, with no coding region annotated. The record is from RefSeq and is a predicted model, not a curated record. The transcript has 5 exons. Lineage: Eukaryota; Viridiplantae; Streptophyta; Magnoliopsida; Malvales; Malvaceae.
GUUGCACAGCCUCUUAUUAUUCUUCUUAUCAUUCUUUUCCAUGAUUUUUCUUUUUUAAAAAGAAGAAGGGAAGAACUUGAAGAAUAGAUUCUCAUGGCUGCUUUGUGAUUCAAAGAACCAACGAUCCACCAUUUUUUCUGCAUCAAGAACAACCAUUAUAUUCUUCAAAAAGAAAGGGAAAAAAAAUAUACUUUUUCACUUUCAAAGGAAGAACAACCAUUCGUUGUUCUUUCUCUUUGCCUUCCAAUAAUCUUCUUAGCUUCCUGUAAUUCUUCUUAUUGUUGUUGUUUUUGGAGAGUAUGGAGACAAGGGUUCUUGAUGGUAUAAUCAAUAGGUUGCUUGAAGUUAGAGGCAAGCCAGGGAAGCAAGUCCAGCUCUCUGAGUCCGAAAUAAGACAGCUUUGUCUUGUUUCUAAAGACAUCUUCUUGAUGCAGCCGAUUCUGUUGGAGCUUGAAGCACCUAUUAAGAUCUGUGGAGACAUUCAUGGCCAGUACUCGGAUCUCCUGAGGCUGUUCGAAAAUGGCGGCUUCCCUCCUCGUGCCAAUUACUUGUUCUUAGGGGACUACGUCGAUCGGGGAAAGCAAAGUCUCGAAACCAUCUGCCUUCUCCUUGCAUACAAGAUCAAAUAUCCCGAGAAUUUUUUCCUGCUCCGGGGCAACCACGAAUGUGCAUCGGUGAACCGUACCUACGGUUUCUACGACGAGUGCAAACGGAGAUUCAAUGUCCGGUUAUGGAAGGUGUUCACCGAUUGUUUCAACUGCCUCCCCGUUGCGGCCCUGAUCGAAGAAAAGAUAUUCUGCAUGCAUGGCGGACUGUCGCCGGAGCUAUGCAAUUUAGACCAGAUUAGGAAGUUAAAGCGGCCCGUGGAUGUUCCGGAAUCUGGCUUACUAUGUGAUCUCCUAUGGUCUGAUCCUAGUAAAGACAUUCAAGGCUGGGGGCCUAAUGACAGGGGAGUUUCAUACAUAUUUGGUCCUGAUAGGGUGAUUGAUUGUCUCACGAAGCUUGACCUUGAUUUAAUUUGCCGUGCACACCAGGUCGUCGAAGACGGAUACGAGUUCUUUGCUAAUAGGCAACUUGUAACCAUAUUUUCUGCACCAAAUUACUGUGGAGAAUUCGACAAUGCGGCUGCCAUGAUGAGUGUGGAUGAAACAUUGAUGUGUUCAUUCCAAAUAUUGAAGCCUGCAGAUAAGAAACCGAAAUCCGGGUUCGGGACAUUGACUUCAAUCAAGUCUCCUACACCUCCAUCUAGAAUCAGGUCAUUUCUUGGAGCAAAAGUAUAAUAAGAGGCUUAUAACUGAUGGAGAUAUCAAGAGCAAGUCGGCUGCUAUCGAUCAAAGGGGAUAUUUGGAAGAUUUUACAACGUAAAACUCUUAUGAAAUCCGGUUGUCCUGAUGUUUGGAGCAUUCCCAGCUUUGAUCACGUAUUACCGGUGCAUGAAAAUGCCCGAAACCACUAGGUACACUGCCUUGGUUGCCAAGAAAGCGAAACAGGCUGUGGCUGAUAUGUCGAAAGAUAUUCGGGUCGAUUUGGAGUCAGAACCAGAGAAACUAGAACAAAACAAAGGGAACAGUUUCGGGUUGUUCUGCGCACAAUUUCUUCGUCGACAUGGACUUCACUUGCUUACCUAGAUCACUUGGGUUCGUGCUAGACAUUUCAUUCUAUAGUCAAAACCUGUUCCAAAAGGACAUCUUUAGUGCCAUUGGUUGGAUUCCAAAGGCAAACAUCAUGCAUGCCAUUGAA